RNAcentral lists this long non-coding RNA (1138 nucleotides) under Papio anubis (olive baboon). RNAcentral describes it as "lncRNA (ENSPANG00000050448.1)". Lineage: Eukaryota; Metazoa; Chordata; Mammalia; Primates; Cercopithecidae. The record is from RNAcentral.
UGUGUUAAUUUUUACCCAAGAUGGCCAUCUGGAGGGGCAAAGUUCUUCAACAGAAGGAGUAGAGGAGUGUCAUUGGAAGCCUAUUUGCUUCAGGAAAAGGCUCGAGCCAUUAGUUGGACUACAGAAUCAUUCUCCAAGGUCAAAGGAACUACAAGCAGCCUUGAGAACCAUCAGGAGCUGGAGCGACAGUCAGAAUCAUGUUGGCGGUGAGCCUCUAUCCUGUUUGAUUUUGUGCCUGCCCUGUGUGUCCCAGUUGGUGCCAUGUGCCUCCUUAGGCCUGCUGUAGAUUUGUGAUUCUAUCACUGAAGUUUGCUUUGGUCUCUGAUUAUUGCUCUCUUCCUACUGCUACCUAUUUUCUGCCCAUUCAGAAGUGGAAGAUGAUCUUUUUUCUCAGUUGACCAAAGCUUUAGCUCUAGCAUUAGAUAUUUAGCUUACCAAGGCAUUACACUUUUUGCCUAUAGAUUUUCUUCUUUCCCAGUCUAUUCCCCAGGAUACUGUUUCCCAAAUUGCUCUGUGGAACACUAGCUUAGUACAUGGUAUUGAUAGAUAUGUAGGGAUAAAGAGGGAUUUUAUGGCCAAAUUAUUGAGGAAAAAAUUGGAUUAGAUGAAGUUAAAGAUUUCUCGAUGAGUGUGGUGGCAAAUGCUUGUAGCCCAGGCUACCUGGGAGGCUGAGGCGGGAGGACUGCUUGAGCCCAGGAGUUAGAGUCCAGCCUAGGCAACAUAGUGAAACUCUCUGUAAAAUACAUAAAUAAAACAAGACAAUUUUAAAAAAAAGAUUUCUUUAAUGCAGGACUUCUCAGAGCUUUUAACAUUCUAGUGAAGGGAACAGCCAAGUUUGGCUCAUAGGCCAAAUCUGACCUGCCAUCUGCUUUUGCAAGUAAAGUUUUAUUGGAACACAGUCAUGCUGAUUUGUUGACAUAUUCUCCAUGGCUGCAUUCUUACUACAAUGGCAGAGGUGAGUAGCUACCUCAGUGACCAAAUAGCCCACAAAGCAGAAAAUAUGUACUUUUUGGCCCUUUAGAGAAAAGGUUUACCAACCUCUGCUCACAUGUCUCCAAAAGGCGGAAUACAUGUGGGUUCACACUUAUUUGGCUUCAAAUGCCUUCUUUCCUUGGACAACCUAUUUAACCUCUUAAGA